Molecule: unclassified non-coding RNA, 411 nt
Filed under: Hevea brasiliensis (rubber tree)
Lineage: Eukaryota; Viridiplantae; Streptophyta; Magnoliopsida; Malpighiales; Euphorbiaceae
Source: RNAcentral
CUUGUUUGGUUCCUUAUAAACUUGCAAUUGAAAAUCUGCUCCAUUAGAGAGGAAUUGCAGAAUAGAGUGAGAAGCGUAGAUCCUGAGAGGUUGAACCAAGAUGAGGGCUAAAUGGAAGAAGAAGCGCAUGAGGAGAUUGAAGAGGAAGCGCCGAAAGAUGAGGCAGAGAUCCAAGUAGGUGCUUGGAAUUGAACAAGAUACCUUCAGCUCAGCUUAUGGUGCUGCGCGAAGUGGGUUGCUGGAAGGAUGCUUGUUAGGGAAAGCUUCAUUUGUUUUUGCCUCCUGUUUUUAGUUUUAGCAACUGUUUUUGGGACUUAUUGAAUUUAACGUUUUGAGUUGUAUUUGACUUAAUAUAUGAAACUGGUUUUAAAGGUUUAUGCAUUACAAUCAGAUGCGUAAUUUAUUGGUCUG